RNAcentral lists this unclassified non-coding RNA (200 nucleotides) under Pleosporales sp. RNAcentral describes it as "partial internal transcribed spacer 2". Lineage: Eukaryota; Fungi; Ascomycota; Dothideomycetes; Pleosporales. The record is from RNAcentral.
UUAAGUUCAGCGGGUAUCCCUACCUGAUCCGAGGUCAAAAGUGAAAAAGAGGCUUCAUGGAUGCCACGAUUUAAGGACUAAGACGCAAAAUGUGCUGCGCUUACUACCAAAAACACUGGCUGCCAAUUACUUUAAGGCGAGUCCCUCAGGACAAACACCCAACACCAAGCAAAGCUUGAAGGUACAAAUGACGCUCGAAC